AGUGAACGCUGGCGGCAGGCCUAACACAUGCAAGUCGAACGGCAGCACAGUAAGAGCUUGCUCUUACGGGUGGCGAGUGGCGGACGGGUGAGGAAUACAUCGGAAUCUACUUUUUCGUGGGGGAGAAAGUAGGGAAACUUACGCUAAUACCGCAUACGACCUACGGGUGAAAGCAGGGGAUCUUCGGACCUUGCGCGAUUGAAUGAGCCGAUGUCGGAUUAGCUAGGUGGCGGGGUAAAGGCCCACCAAGGCGACGAUGCGUAGCUGGUCUGAGAGGAUGAUCAGCCACACUGGAACUGAGACACGGUCCAGACUCCUACGGGAGGCAGCAGUGCGGAAUAUUGGACAAUGGGCGAAAGCCUGAUCCAGCCAUACCGCGUGGGUGAAGAAGGCCUUCGGGUUGUAAAGCCCUUUUGUUGGGAAAGAAAAGAAGCACGUUAAUCCCCGGCUGUUCUGACGGUACCCAAAGAAUAAGCACCGGCUAACUUCGUG
Molecule: ribosomal RNA, 492 nt
Filed under: uncultured bacterium
Lineage: Bacteria
Description: partial 16S ribosomal RNA
Rfam family: Bacterial small subunit ribosomal RNA
Source: RNAcentral